CAGUAGCCGCGGUAAUACGAAGGGUGCAAGCGUUACUCGGAAUUACUGGGCGUAAAGCGUGCGUAGGUGGUUGUUUAAGUCUGUUGUGAAAGCCCUGGGCUCAACCUGGGAAUUGCAGUGGAUACUGGGCGACUAGAGUGUGGUAGAGGGUAGUGGAAUUCCCGGUGUAGCAGUGAAAUGCGUAGAGAUCGGGAGGAACAUCCAUGGCGAAGGCAGCUACCUGGACCAACACUGACACUGAGGCACGAAAGCGUGGGGAGCAAACAGGAUUAGAUACCCCUGUAGUCCCUGUCUCUUAUAC
RNAcentral lists this ribosomal RNA (301 nucleotides) under uncultured bacterium. RNAcentral describes it as "partial 16S ribosomal RNA". It matches the Rfam family "Bacterial small subunit ribosomal RNA", at positions 509 to 807 of the family's 1533-position model. The record is from RNAcentral.